Molecule: long non-coding RNA, 469 nt
Filed under: Anser brachyrhynchus (Pink-footed goose)
Lineage: Eukaryota; Metazoa; Chordata; Aves; Anseriformes; Anatidae
Description: lncRNA (ENSABRG00000016976.1)
Source: RNAcentral
CAGUAGUAAUCAACACUUAAUUCAAACUUUAUGAUCAUCUGUGUUUUUUAUGUUGCUAGAAUUGGAAGCAAAAGAUAAAGAAACUUUUUUUUUUUUUUUUUUUUCAAAGCAAUUGCAAAGUGCUGACUGAAUAGGCCUGGUGAAUGAAGAGAAGCAAAGAGGCAGAAGUACUCCAAACUGCUCUGUUACAUCCAAACAAUAUUCUUCAGUUCAGUUAGAGCCAUGUACCUCAGCUGGGUCUGUUCCUGGUUCUGCUGUGCACGUGCCGAGAACCCUAACAUGGGAUUGGCUCAGAGAGAGGCAUAGAGAAGAGACCUACCAGCAAUGACUGAAGAUUGAGUAAAGGAUUACUUGCAAGCAUCUCGCCUGUACAACUCCAUGUUACCUUUUCAAAACAAAGGCAAAUAUUUAGGUAAAUAUAUAUUUAGUUUUUUUUUUUUACCAUACUCAAGUAUGGUGAAGUCUAAAC